GCUGGUGGGUAAAGAGAACAGUAUCUAAAAGCCCAAUUAAAUCUUUAGGGUUAUCGGAGAACUUUGCAUUUUGAGUUCUCCAAUUGUAUAAAUCACUGAUGGAGAACGGCCAAUAUAACACUGGUUGUUUUCCAGACUUGUCAGGAGGCCCCAUGGCGCGGAGGGGAAGGGCGGUGGAGUCGGCCAGCCCCAUAUUUGAGGGUGGGGCUGCCCGGUGGGUCCAUCCAUGUGUCCCUGCUGCUGGCCCACGCACAGGAAUUCCUUCGUCAGGGAGGGGUGGUGCCCCUCCUGCAGCCCCUGGUGCUUCCAAUGGAGGGGCAGAAGGGAGAGGGAGAGCCUGGUAGGGCAGUGGAUGAAUCAGGUCCUCCGGAGAGGAAUCCUGCAAGACCAGAUAAAGGGGUGUUGUGGCCUUUGUGUCAGUCUCCUUCUCGGCUUUCCGCAGGGCUAGAAUCUUGGUAGGUCCUGCUUUGGGGGGUAAGAAUGGUUUUAGCCAAGAAGGGGGGUUUUCAAUCAUGUCCUGCCAGACCAGGAUGUAGAGCACCUGGUCAGGGUGGCCAUCUGGUUUGUCCUUGAAGAUUACAGCCUUGACCUGCAAAAUAAUAGGUAGGUGGAAAGUUCCUUCUUGGGGCCAUCCCACAUCAAAGGUUGGCCAUUCUGACAUGCAGUAAGUCUGAAAUUUCCCUUUUCUUAUGUCUGUGCUCAAAUUAUGAGCCCUUUCCUUAAUGUCCGAGAAGUGGGAGAGCAUAAGAGACAGGGGGUGGUUUGGGUCCGCCCCAUUUCAAUCCACACCAAGACACAAACAAUUAUGACGAUUAACAAGGACACAAUAACACAGACAAACAUUCCAGUGCGGCCGCGGAGACAAAACAGAAAGUAAAACGAAGGGCUGGCUGUCCGUAAUGGCAGCCGGCCCUCCUCACAGAUGAGGGCUUUGCCCUCCUGGCGGGGGCAAGGGACGUCUCCCAAGACCCCCGGUCGACGGCUCGCCAGUGCGUCCGCUUAAGCCAAUGCCGACCCAAAGACAGUUUGGAAUUCCUACAGGUACUUUGAGGCUUUAUUAUUAGUUGUGUAAAACUCAGGGUUGUUGUGUCCUCUUGAUGAAUUGAUCCCUUUAUCAUCUAAUCUGGUGUUAGCUAUUUGCCCUACCUACCUCAUGUCUGUUAUGGAAAAAGAACAAAAGAACAGUUUGGAAAGUAUACAGCAAACAGAAGUGUCCUUUCUAGCAAUGAAGCAUGAUGGAACAGGCACUCAGUUAAGUCUGAAGAAUAAGACUGCAUGUGAAGAAUUUUGAAACUAUAGCCCCACGACCUACUUGCAGGCAGGAGUUCUGAGACAGAGAAGACCAUGUGAAGACAGAGCAGGAAGAGCUGAGGCCACAAGAUGAGACUGACAACCACCAGAAGCUGGAAGAGGCAAGGAAGGGACUCCACCCUCGGGCCUCCAGAGGGGGCUCAACACCCUGACUGCAGACUUUUGGCCUACAGAGUUGUAAGAAUAAAUUCCUAUUGUUUGA
Molecule: long non-coding RNA, 1513 nt
Organism: Felis catus (domestic cat)
Lineage: Eukaryota; Metazoa; Chordata; Mammalia; Carnivora; Felidae
Exons: 4
Source: RefSeq, a predicted model, not a curated record